RNAcentral lists this ribosomal RNA (1420 nucleotides) under uncultured bacterium. Its description in RNAcentral is "bacterial SSU rRNA". It matches the Rfam family "Bacterial small subunit ribosomal RNA". The record is from RNAcentral.
GAUGAACGCUAGCGGCAGGCCUAAUACAUGCAAGUCGAACGAUACCAGAGAGCUUGCUUUCUGGGAAAGUGGCGCACGGGUGCGUAACGCGUAUGCAACCUACCUUAAUCAGGGGGAUAGCCUCUCGAAAGAGAGAUUAACACCGCAUAAAAUCACACUUCGGCAUCGAAGAAUGAUCAAAUAUUUAUAGGAUUAAGAUGGGCAUGCGUGACAUUAGCUAGUUGGUAAGGUAACGGCUUACCAAGGCUACGAUGUCUAGGGGAUCUGAGAGGAUGACCCCCCACACUGGUACUGAGACACGGACCAGACUCCUACGGGAGGCAGCAGUAAGGAAUAUUGGUCAAUGGGGGCAACCCUGAACCAGCCAUGCCGCGUGCAGGAAGACGGCCCUACGGGUUGUAAACUGCUUUUAUACGGGAAUAAAUCUCGCUACGUGUAGUGAGUUGAAUGUACUGUAAGAAUAAGGAUCGGCUAACUCCGUGCCAGCAGCCGCGGUAAUACGGAGGAUCCAAGCGUUAUCCGGAUUUAUUGGGUUUAAAGGGUGCGUAGGCGGCCUAUUAAGUCAGGGGUGAAAGACGGUGGGCUCAACCAUCGCAGUGCCCUUGAUACUGAUGGGCUUGAUUACACUUGAGGUAGGCGGAAUGUGACAAGUAGCNGGGGAAAUGCAUANAUAUGUCACAGAACACCAAUUGCGAAGGCAAANCAGGAUUAGAUNCCNNGGUNGUCCCCCGCCCUAANCGAUGAAUACUCGAUGUUAGCGAUAUACAGUNAGCGUCAAAGCGAAAGCGUUAAGUAUUCCACCUGGGGAGUACGCCCGCAAGGGUGAAACUCAAAGGAAUUGACGGGGGCCCGCACAAGCGGAGGAGCAUGUGGUUUAAUUCGAUGAUACGCGAGGAACCUUACCCGGGCUUGAAAGUUACUGAAUGAUCUAGAGAUAGGUCAGUCCGCAAGGACAGGAAACUAGGUGCUGCAUGGCUGUCGUCAGCUCGUGCCGUGAGGUGUUGGGUUAAGUCCCGCAACGAGCGCAACCCCUAUGUUUAGUCGCCAGCAUGUAAAGGUGGGGACUCUAAACAGACUGCCUGUGCAAACAGAGAGGAAGGAGGGGACGACGUCAAGUCAUCAUGGCCCUUACGUCCGGGGCUACACACGUGCUACAAUGGGCAGUACAGAGGGCAGCUACCUGGUAACAGGAUGCCAAUCUCAAAAAGCUGUUCACAGUUCGGAUAGAGGUCUGCAACUCGACCUCUUGAAGUUGGAUUCGCUAGUAAUCGCAGAUCAGCAAUGCUGCGGUGAAUACGUUCCCGGGCCUUGUACACACCGCCCGUCAAGCCAUGGAAGUUGGGGGUACCUGAAGUACGUAACCGCAAGGAGCGUCCUAGGGUAAAACCGAUAACUGGGGCUAAGUCGUAACAAGGUAACC